CAGUCGCCGCGGUAAUACGAAGGGGGCUAGCGUUGCUCGGAAUCACUGGGCGUAAAGGGUGCGUAGGCGGGUCUUUAAGUCAGGGGUGAAAUCCUGGAGCUCAACUCCAGAACUGCCUUUGAUACUGAAGAUCUUGAGUUCGGGAGAGGUGAGUGGAACUGCGAGUGUAGAGGUGAAAUUCGUAGAUAUUCGCAAGAACACCAGUGGCGAAGGCGGCUCACUGGCCCGAUACUGACGCUGAGGCACGAAAGCGUGUGGAGCAAACAGGAUUAGAGACCCCUGUAGUCCCUGUCUCUUAUAA
RNAcentral lists this ribosomal RNA (301 nucleotides) under uncultured bacterium. RNAcentral describes it as "partial 16S ribosomal RNA". It matches the Rfam family "Bacterial small subunit ribosomal RNA", at positions 509 to 809 of the family's 1533-position model. The record is from RNAcentral.